Molecule: ribosomal RNA, 385 nt
Filed under: embryophyte environmental sample
Lineage: Eukaryota; Viridiplantae; Streptophyta
Description: eukaryotic LSU rRNA
Rfam family: 5.8S ribosomal RNA (bases 35-190)
Source: RNAcentral
CCGGCACCACGACCUCCCUUUGGGUAGGAGGGGGUACUCUCGGCAACGGAUAUCUCGGCUCUCGCAUCGAUUAAGAACGUAGCGAAAUGCGAUCCCUGGUGUGAAUUGCAGAAUCCCGCGAAACAUCGAGUCUUUCAACGCAAGUUGCGCCCGAGGCCACUUGGCCGAGGGCACGCCUGCCUGGGCAUCACGCCAAACACGCUCCCACGCCUCAUCGGGUUGGGAUGCGGCAUGUGGCCCCCCGUCUAGCAAUAGGCGGUGGGCCAAAGAUGCGGCUGCCGGCAUAUCGUGUCGGACACAGCGCGUGGUGGGCGAACUCGCUUUAGUUACCUCAGUGCUUGACGCUCUGACCGCGACCCCAGGUCAGGCAGGACUACCUGCUGAA